RNAcentral lists this ribosomal RNA (991 nucleotides) under Myceligenerans sp. CC 0396. Its description in RNAcentral is "partial 16S ribosomal RNA". Lineage: Bacteria; Bacillati; Actinomycetota; Actinomycetes; Micrococcales; Promicromonosporaceae. The record is from RNAcentral.
GAGCUGACGACAACAUGCACACUGUACACGACUUGCGGAGCACAUCUCUGCAGCUGUCGUGCAUGUCAAGCUUGUAGUCUUCGCGUGCAUCGAAUAAUCGCAUGCUCGCCGCUGUGCGGGCCCCGUCAAUUCCUUGAGUUUUAGCUGCGGCCGUACUCCCAGGCGGGCACUUAAUGCGUUAGCUACGCACAGAACGAGUGGAACCGCCCCACACCUAGUGCCAACGUUUACGGCAUGGACUAGCAGGGUAUCUAAUCCUGUUCGCUCCCCAUGCUUUCGCUCCUCAGCGUCAGUAACGGCCCAGAGACCUGCCUUCGCCAUCGGUGUUCCUCCUGAUAUCUGCGCAUUCCACCGCUACACCAGGAAUUCCAGUCUCCCCUACCGCACUCCAGCCUGCCCGUACCCGAUGCCAGCCCGAGGUUGAGCCUCGGGUUUUCACACCAGACGCGACAGACCGCCUACGAGCUCUUUACGCCCAAUAAUUCCGGACAACGCUUGCGCCCUACGUAUUACCGCGGCUGCUGGCACGUAGUUAGCCGGCGCUUCUUCUACAAGUACCGUCACCCGAAAGCUUCUUCCUUGUCGAAAGAGGUUUACAACCCGAAGGCCGUCAUCCCUCACGCGGCGUCGCUGCAUCAGGCUUUCGCCCAUUGUGCAAUAUUCCCCACUGCUGCCUCCCGUAGGAGUCUGGGCCGUGUCUCAGUCCCAGUGUGGCCGGUCGCCCUCUCAGGCCGGCUACCCGUCGACGCCUUGGUAGGCCAUCACCCCACCAACAAGCUGAUAGGCCGCGAGCCCAUCCCCCACCAAUAAAUCUUUCCAACCCCCACCAUGCGGCAGAGACUGAAUAUCCGGUAUUAGACCUCGUUUCCAAGGCUUAUCCCGAAGAGGGGGGCAGGUUACUCACGUGUUACUCACCCGUUCGCCACUAAUCCAACCAGCAAGCUGGGCUUCAUCGUUCGACUGCAAGGUUAUACCCCGCAAUAGCUUGCCC